RNAcentral lists this ribosomal RNA (240 nucleotides) under uncultured euryarchaeote. Its description in RNAcentral is "partial 16S ribosomal RNA". It matches the Rfam family "Archaeal small subunit ribosomal RNA", at positions 752 to 999 of the family's 1478-position model. The record is from RNAcentral. Lineage: Archaea; Methanobacteriati; Methanobacteriota.
GGCAACCUCGGGUGGAGCGUUGGCUUAAUGCUAAUGCUGUGCCGCAGGGAAGCCGUUAAGUUUGCCGCCUGGGAAGUACGGUCGCAAGAUUGAAACUUAAAGGAAUUGGCGGGGGAGCACCACAAGGGGUGAAGCCUGCGGUUCAAUUGGAGUCAACGCCAGGAAUCUUACCCGGGGAGACAGCAGAAUGAAGGUCAAGCUGAAGACUUUACCAGACAAGCUGAGAGGAGGUGCAUGGCA